RNAcentral lists this small nuclear RNA (106 nucleotides) under Catagonus wagneri (Chacoan peccary). The record is from RNAcentral. Lineage: Eukaryota; Metazoa; Chordata; Mammalia; Artiodactyla; Tayassuidae.
GUCCUUGCUUCUGCAGUACAUAUACUAAAAUUGAAACAAUACAGAGAAGAUUAGCAUGCCCCCGCGCAAGGAUGACACGUAGAUUUGUGAAGUGUUCUGUAUUUUU